CUGAUGAAUCAGGUCUGACAUUACUCAUAUGGGUUUGGAUAGAAGACGCUUUCUGGAACAUUCUGAAGCUGAAAAAAAACCCACGAUGAUGGUAAUCAAAAGGGGCCCCGUGCCCGAGCCCUCCGGAGAACCCACUGAGGAGAACGUGGAAACUCCACUCAGAAAGGUGCUGAGCGGGUUGAAACCCAGGACCUUCUUGCUGUGAGGCGACAGUGCUGACCACCCCUCAUCACAGGGCUGCCUAAUGUAUUCACAUUCAGUGAUUCAUCUCUGGUCCCGGCAAAGGAAACACUUCAACAAUCGCCAGAUGAG
Long non-coding RNA from Gasterosteus aculeatus aculeatus (three-spined stickleback), 312 nucleotides. NCBI's taxonomy places the organism in Eukaryota, Metazoa, Chordata, Actinopteri, Perciformes, Gasterosteidae. The record is from Ensembl.